GCCAGACUCCUACGGGAGGCAGCAGUGGGGGAUAUUGGACAAUGGGGGAAACCCUGAUCCAGCGACGCCGCGUGAGUGAAGAAGUAUUUCGGUAUGUAAAGCUCUGUCAGCAGGGAAGAAAGAAAUGACGGUACCUGACCAAGAAGCCCCGGCUAACUACGUGCCAGCAGCCGCGGUAAUACGUAGGGGGCAAGCGUUAUCCGGAAUUACUGGGUGUAAAGGGAGCGUAGACGGUGAUGCAAGUCUGGAGUGAAAGGCGGGGGCCCAACCCCCGGACUGCUCUGGAAACUGUGUAACCUGAGUGCAGGAGAGGUAAGCGGAAUUCCUAGUGUAGCGGUGAAAUGCGUAGAUAUUAGGAGGAACACCAGUGGCGAAGGCGGCUUACUGGACUGUAACUGACGUUGAGGCUCGAAAGCGUGGGGAGCAAACAGGAUUAGAUACCCUAGUA
This 448-nucleotide ribosomal RNA is filed under the name uncultured bacterium. RNAcentral's name for it is "bacterial SSU rRNA". It matches the Rfam family "Bacterial small subunit ribosomal RNA", at positions 330 to 792 of the family's 1533-position model. The record is from RNAcentral.